ACGGGAGGCAGCAGUGGGGAAUAUUGGACAAUGGGCGAAAGCCUGAUCCAGCGACGCCGCGUGAGUGAAGAAGUAUUUCGGUAUGUAAAGCUCUAUCAGCAGGGAAGAUAAUGACGGUACCUGACUAAGAAGCCCCGGCUAACUACGUGCCAGCAGCCGCGGUAAUACGUAGGGGGCAAGCGUUAUCCGGAUUUACUGGGUGUAAAGGGAGCGUAGACGGUAUGGCAAGUCUGAUGUGAAAACCCAGGGCUCAACCCUGGGACUGCAUUGGAAACUGUCAAACUAGAGUGCAGGAGAGGUAAGUGGAAUUCCUAGUGUAGCGGUGAAAUGCGUAGAUAUUAGGAGGAACACCAGUGGCGAAGGCGGCUUGCUGGACGACAACUGACGCUGAGGCGCGAAAGCGUGGGGAGCAAACAGGAUUAGAUACCCUGGUA
This 434-nucleotide ribosomal RNA is filed under the name uncultured Lachnospiraceae bacterium. RNAcentral's name for it is "partial 16S ribosomal RNA". It matches the Rfam family "Bacterial small subunit ribosomal RNA", at positions 341 to 792 of the family's 1533-position model. The record is from RNAcentral. Lineage: Bacteria; Bacillati; Bacillota; Clostridia; Lachnospirales; Lachnospiraceae.